UACAGAGGUCCCAAGCGUUGUUCGGAUUCACUGGGCGUAAAGGGUGCGUAGGUGGCUUGGUAAGUUUGAUGUGAAAUCUCCGGGCUUAACCCGGAAAUGGCAUUGAAUACUAUUGAGCUGGAGGUUUGGAGGGGGGACUGGAAUUCUCGGUGUAGCAGUGAAAUGCGUAGAUAUCGAGAGGAACACCAGUGGCGAAGGCGGCUUCCUGGUCCAGCACCGACGUUCAGGCACGAAAGCGUGGGGAGCAAACAGG
Molecule: ribosomal RNA, 253 nt
Filed under: uncultured bacterium
Lineage: Bacteria
Description: partial 16S ribosomal RNA
Rfam family: Bacterial small subunit ribosomal RNA
Source: RNAcentral